RNAcentral lists this ribosomal RNA (253 nucleotides) under uncultured bacterium. RNAcentral describes it as "partial 16S ribosomal RNA". It matches the Rfam family "Bacterial small subunit ribosomal RNA", at positions 524 to 776 of the family's 1533-position model. The record is from RNAcentral.
UACGAAGGGGGCUAGCGUUGUUCGGAUUUACUGGGCGUAAAGCGCACGUAGGCGGAUAUUUAAGUUAGGGGUGAAAUCCCAGAGCUCAACUCUGGAACUGCCUCUAAUACUGGGUAUCUAGAGUUCGAGAGAGGUGAGUGGAAUUCCGAGUGUAGAGGUGAAAUUCGUAGAUAUUCGCAAGAACACCAGUGGCGAAGGCGGCUCACUGGCCCAUUACUGACGCUGAGGCACGAAAGCGUGGGGAGCAAACAGG